CAGCAGUGGAGACGCCUCCGCGCACAACCGCUGGGUUCCUGUCUCGGUCACAGGCGGGGAGGCGAUGAAGCCGGCGUCUCAGUCCCGGGAGAAAGGAGCGCUCAUGGGUCGCCAGGCAGAGAAGGGCUCGCUCCCGGUGCAGGGGCUGGCCUCGGCCUCGCGGUGCCCGGUGGCGGGGCCCGCUGCACGUCUCCCGGAGGACGGGGAGCCCGCGGCCGGAGGAGCCACAGAAGGAGGCGGGCGGUGCGCGCUCGGGGGUGGGAGCUCUAGCGCCGUGAGCGCCGGCGGCCGCCUGGCGUCUGCACCCGGGUUCCGCCGCGCCACUUCCUCGCCGGCUGCCGAGCGCUCUGCGCCCAGCCCCUCGCGCCGGGCUAUAAGCUGUGCGGCCGGGAGGGGAGGAGGCGCUUGCAAAGAGCGGCCACGGGGAGGACAGAGAGCGGGAGGGGGCCGGGAGAGGAGCGGGAAGUGCGAGUGUGCAGGGACCGGGAGAGGAAGCGGGGAGGGGCUGGAACGCAGAGACAAAGCGGACGCCAGUCUCAGCCACUCCAGCUGCAGCCCUCCAGGACCGCGGAUAAAAUAAAUUUUCCCGGGUCGAGGUGUCUCGUCUCCCUGCAACCGAGUUACGGAUGGCCCCGGAGUUGAGGGACCCAGCGCAGGGGAGGACAGGGCGGUGCAGCCGGCGCGGCCCGAAACUGGCGCGGAGUCCUGGCUCCAGCGAGCUUCACAAAGCCAGAGAGGCCCGAUAAGUUCAAGUCACCAAAUCUACCAGGAACCAUCCUCGAUGACCCUAAAUAGGAAUGGCAUGUGGACGGUGCAUGUAGCUCAGUUGGUUGGCGGGGAGUCUUGCCACUGGAAGCCCACAGUGGGGACAGGGAUCGAUCGAACUCGGGCCCUUGCGCUUUUGAGGCAGGCGGCAGAAUCUCUGAGCUAAAUCCCCAGCCCUCUAAGGUGAUUCUUAUCACCCCACCUGCUGGAAGAUAAGGUAAGUCCUGAACAGAAGGAAGCCUUUUGCAGGGCUGUGGUCAAACUGGACAACAAUAGACAUAGAUGUCUGAGUCACAGACAGCUCGGGAAAUGCUACCUCUCUGUAUUGUACAACCCCCCCGGGAGCCUGUCUCUGCCUCUGCCUUGUGACACCACACCAAGGUUUCAGUCUUUAAUGCUAUUAAGAAGCUGCACCCAAGGCUUUGGCCUUGUUAUCUCCUCUACGUUACUUUGUUAGGCUGCAAAAUAAACAGCAUGGGGUUAAAUGUAUUAGCUGUCUUCAAACCUAAUUUAUCUUCAUUUCUUCCUCAUUUACACUUGGGCUGAAUUAAUGAGAAUGAUUUAAUUAACAUGGUGCGAUGCUGGUAGUGGAGACAAGAAGGCUCAAAGGAUUAAACCAAACCAUGGGCCAAGCAGCUGCCAUCCUGCCUCCUGCUGUCUCCCAAAGCCCCACCCAAAUUUCAGACAGGUUCCCUGCUGUCGCUGUAUUCCAACAGCACCCUCUUUAUUCUUUGAUCCACUUCCUGGAUCUGUGUGAGGAAAAGGGCACAGCUUUCCUUCCUUGGUUACUCCCUAGGUAGCUUUGAGGCCCUGCCCUGUAGAAUCCAUGUGGCAGAGGGGGCAAGUGGCACCAAAGAUUUGUGCUCCUCUUUCCAGGCCAUCAAGUCCAUGGUGAGACGUGAAUCUCCUGGCCCCUUAUAAAUUGGGAUUGACACCUAUGGAAGGGAAAGAGGAAAUAGGAUAGGCAGAGGGAGAGGUUAAGCUGGGUUGCUUGCAGUCUCUGCUGUGGCUUCAGCCAGCCCCUGGGGGCCUCUGGAGCUGAACUGACCCAGAAGAGUUGUCCUAGUGAAGAUAAGAAGGCCACAUUAUCCAGUGACUGAAUGCAGACUGCCCAAGGAAGGAACUGUGGCCUGGAGCACAGUGGCACAUUUCUGUAGAGGCAGUUGUGAAGGACACUGGCAAUCAAAGGCCUUCUGCCACCAGCGCCUCCAGCAGCUGGAAGAACCAAACCUUUGUUCCCAAGGAAGAACUGAGGGGCUCAGCACUGUGCCCACCUCCACGACUGGCACAGAUCUAGGGGCCUAGGAAGUGAAACCUCGGCUCCUGUCAGUGUUUCUCUUAUUUUCAAAAAGAGAGGGAAAGGAUCUGGCUGUUAAAGAGGCAAGGAUAAGGAAAAAGAUCACCAGUGCAAGAAGUGAUCAGCCUUCUGUCAGUAAUCAUUUUUCUUGCUGGAGAAGAGCAAGGGGUCUAAAUUGACAAUUAAGUUUUCUAAGAUUUGGUGUGCCGUCUUCUGCAUUUACACCCUUUUUAUUUAUUUAUUUUUAGUACUGGGGAUCAAACUCAGGACCUUGCACUUUCGAGGCAGGCGCAGGUACCACUAAGCUAAAUCCCCAGCCCUAUUUACACCCUUUUAAAAUCAUCGUGUUUGCGUUAAGUAUCUGUUAUGAUAAACCUAGGAAAUAUUCCUAGGAUUGGAUCCAAAUUCAUUUGGUCAUAUUUUAAAAUUUCAGUUGCUUCUUACAUCUAUUAUAUGUACCAAACUCAUGUGUAUUCUGUAAAUUAAAUUGAUUAUAGUAUGAUUCUCAGUUUCAAAUUCUAGGUGUUCACUGCUGCUAUGAAUACAGCUGACUUUUGUAUAAUGAUUGUUUAAUGAAAUUUUUGUGUGGAAGUCUGUUUUUGUCUGUUAAGUGCUAAGCACCACUGUUCAUGUUGACCUCCUCUGUGAAGGGUUGUUAUAUAGCUUGGAAAUUCAUUCUUCGUCUGAGAUACCUCACCUUACCCAGCCUCGGAUGACUUUUCAAGGGGUAGACAGUUUAUUGGCUGCUGAUGGGACUACAGAGGGACCCAUUUGAAUCCCUUUUCCCUGGAUUACUGUGUAAAGCUUGGGCAUUAGUAAAUCAAGAACCUAAACUGCUUAUGUUUUUUCUACUCCAGGGCCCUUCAAGACAAUAACCUUCACAUUUCACUGUGAGUUAUAAGUUUUAGGGGCAGGAUUUUAAAGCAGCAUUUAUUAUUUUCUCUGAUUACAAAAGCAAUGCACGGUAGAAAUUUGAAAAAUACAGAAAAGCAAAGCCAUAGACCCACGACUUGGAGAUGAUGACAUUGAACAUUUACAUUCCCAUCUUUGUAUGUCCACAUACUGUUUUAUUUUUUUCGGUUAAGUGGUUAAGGGCAGUAACUGUAGAAUCAAGCUUAAAUUCCUGCUUCUGUAUUUACUAGCUGGGUGUUUGGGGACAAGUACUCUACUGUCAAUUCUUGGUGCAUUAGUUUCCUGAGCUGCAACAUGGGAUGAUAACAGUACCUAGCUAGAGAGUUGUUCUGCAGAUUAAAUAAACUAGCAUAUGUAAAGCCUGAACCACAGUGCCUGGCUGGGGGUAAGUGCUCUAUUCCACUUAUUUUUACCAUGAUUCCUUAGCAUGUUGUUUAAGGAGAAUGGUUUUCCUAUCAUUCAGUAGGUAGUUUCCAAAUAACCCUGCUAAUAGUAACUUAAUCCUGUUCUUGGCUGGGGAUGUAGCAUAGCAGUGGAGCAUGUCCUGGGUUCCUCCCCCAGCUUACGUGUCCCCUGGAGUAUUUAUUUAAGGCUCUGCUCUUCUUGCACACCCAGGAUGCUCAUAGCUUGUGCAAUACACUCAAAUCCAUGGGUCUGCCUUUAGCUUUUAUUGAUGUGGUCUUCUCAUUUUUUUUGUACCAGAGGCUGAAGUUAAUGAUGGAGAAGCAAUUCCUUGCUUUCCAUUACCUUACAAAACAAAGCUGCCGGAAAGGGAAAGGGUUUAAGAAAUCAUACAUUUAAAAAGGAAGCAACUAGCUAUCCUUAGAGGAAGGCAGCUCUGGCAAAAUGAAGCCUGUAUAGAAUACAGGCACCACUCUUUUCUGCCCUGAAGAUCCUGUAGGGCAGUGAUGGCAAACCUUUUAGAGCUUUUAGUGAUAGCACAGCAUACUUGCCAUGGGUUUACCACCACUGAUGCAGGGUAUUCAUGGUAAAAGCUCACUCAUACUUAUCAAAAUCACAUAGGCUUGGGCCAGGGGUUUAGCUCAGUGGUUCCAUCGCCUGCCUCGCAAGGACCAGAGUUCGUUCCCCGGUACCAAAAACAAGAAUCACACAGGCUUCUCUGGGGUGUGGCCUUGCACAACCUAGGGAAAUCUUGAACCAUUUUUCUCCUAUUUUCCAUAAUCUUUUAAGCACCCCUGGCUCCUGGAUCUAAACUCCUCAUUUGUUCUUAAGUAAUGGCAUUCGAGAAUUGACCGUUGUUCCAAGCAAUGAAAAUGAAGGUUUUAUUUGGCCUGUGGGCUCUGCUUCCAAGGCAAGAUGCCAAGUCUCCGAGCAGGUCUGGGCAUGAGGAAGGGACCAGAAGAAGGGACCUUUGUGGUCCAAGAGCUUGCACCUUUGAAUGAAUAUUAAAAGGAUUUUAUGGUAGUCUGCGAACACAGACUUUACUCAAUGCACAUAGCUCAGCCUCAGACAUUUCUGAAAUCAUGCGCCUGAGAGUGAGCAUUAAUAGGAUGAAGAGUGAGUGCACACAGAGAGGAAGCUGCUGGUGAAUGUGUUUCUUAAGAUUCCCUUAAGCGUUUCUCCUCAGGAUGUGGAAAAUAAAAACAAAAGCAGAGGUAUAAACUCACAUAUAAAGCAUUCUUAUUUCCCUUAGCUCGUUAGUAAUUUUAGAGUUUUUCUAUAACCCCUCAAGUGAAAGAUUUCCUAUUUCCUUAUCUGAUAAUAGAGGGAAAUAUUGAAAUAUCACGAGGAAAUGGUCACUUUUUAAAAAAUUAUGUGUAUUCAAAUAGUUAUGUCAGUUUUCAUAUCCACAGUUAUGAAACAUUCAUUCAUCCAAUCACUCAUCCAACAAACAUUGAUAUAUAGGCCUCGAAUCAAUACUUGGUUCCAGGAAUAACCCUCUGUUCCACUAGCUUUUCUCCAGCCUUCCAGUGUGAUUUUAUAGCGCAGAGGUUUGGCUCCCCAUCACUGUGCUUGUGUUUGCAUUUAGAAUGUGUUUCCUUCUAACUCUCACCCCAUGGAAAGAAAUCAUAUAGAGGGAAAUUUGAGAGGAGUGAAAGGGAAAAGAACUCAAACAUAGAAGGAGCUCGAGUCCUGUCUCUCUCUCAUUAGGCGGAUGGUGUCCAAGAGAGCCAGGAAAAUACAGACCGCCUGGGCUGUGAACUGGUUCUCAAUUGCCAUUUUUCAUGCAAGGAUUAUAAAGAAGCCCAUUAUUGCCUUGUUAAAAACUGCCCUGUCACAAAUGGUAAAGUGGCUCCCAGUGGCCUUGGGCCAAGAAAGGAGAGCCAGGGGUGCUCUCUCCUGUUCUUAUCAAAGGGUUCUGUUUUCACCAGGAUCUGCAGUUUGCCCAGGGUUCCCCCAAACUCUUAGCAACCCCUCCUACACCUCUUCGGGUAUACUUGUGAUUCUGAAAAUGAGCAGCAACACCAAGAUUCCUUCUGAUUGCUCAGACAGUGGUUUUUCUAGACAGGACCUUGAUCAGAUUCAUCUAAAUCCAGUUUCUCUGCUGAGUUUGUUUCUUUUUAAAAAUUCCUUAUGUAAUUUUCUAUGGCUUAAUAACAUAUAAACAAUCUGUCAUGUCACUUUGUUUUGCAUAUGUCCUAUAACAGGCAAAAUGUUGCUUUUUGCAUUAUUAUUUUUCUCCCCUGGUAACCUAAGAAUGAAACUGCUACCCCAACAAAGCCAUUAAUGAACACAAUUGCAUGACUCCGGAAGCCACAGAGCAGAAUUUUGGUAAAUCAGCAGUGCCCUCUUCUGGCCACAGGAGAACCAAUUACAGAA
Molecule: long non-coding RNA, 5755 nt
Filed under: Heterocephalus glaber (naked mole-rat)
Lineage: Eukaryota; Metazoa; Chordata; Mammalia; Rodentia; Bathyergidae
Description: lncRNA (ENSHGLG00100042714.1)
Source: RNAcentral